CAGGGCUUAGGGCUAUUCGAGGGAGGAGCACUAAAUACAUUUAUAUGACAGAGUUUCCAUGUCUUACACACAGAUCCUGAGCAGUUGUAGGCCCAGGGUGUGCUGUUACUGGCCUGAGCAGGACCCAGGGUUAAAGAAAGCAUCCUGCGAACACAAGGAACAACUGGCUCCCGUGACAGAACUUUUAACCAGCCUUUUCUCAAAUCUGUUGACUUAACGCAGGCCAGGGAAUUCUUUGAAAGGCAACAUGGCUAUAAAUCAGCAAGUCCUGCGAACGUGCAUUCCAGGGUCUUGGAGGAAAGGGCUGCACACAAAAGCACCUCUUCUAAGUCUUCAGGAAUGCUGUGGAGUCCCAGUGUCUCCUGAGGAAAUCCCUUUCCCAUUCAGCCGGCAGCUGCAGCAGGUGGGAUGGGCCAGACCAGCCCUCUGGGGAUGCUGAUCCCAGGGAGCAUCCAGGCCGGAAGGUCCAAACGGGCAAGUGACUCAUUUGCUUUUCCUCCCUUGGUCAUGUCUAUGACUCAUACACUUUCAUUCAGUCCCAAGUAUGAGAAAGGAACAUCAAAAAGUCCAAGAUGUUAUCAAAUAUUUGAUGAAAAAGAAAAUUCCCCUCUCAUAUGACCCUUACAGAAAAUGUUUAUUUAGUCUUUUCAUUUUGUUGACAUUUCUUUGAUUUAUCAACAUUGAGAAGGUACAGUGAGGAGAAGGAAGGCUGUUAAGUGAGACAAAGGAGGGUUAGGAUGGCUCAGUCAUUGCUCCCCCGAGGGAGUGAUCUAAGCUGCUCACCCACAGACAGAAAGGGUAAAUGGGCUAGCUCUUCAUUAAUAAGAAAGGACUCUUCGUUUGAGUAAGUGAGGAGUAUUUACAGUGCUGUGUUUGUAAUCACAUGGUGCCUGUGUAUAGAUGGCUGGGAGACAGGAUAAAGGGAUGGGUGAUUUAAAAGCAUCAACUUUGGUAUCAGAUGGAUCUGGAGUGGAAUUAUGGAUCUGUCACUUAUUAGCUGUGCAACCUUCAGCAAGAUCCUUGAGUGCUCUGAGACUUAGCUUUCAGAUCUAUAAAAUAACAAUUAUAAAAAAAUAGCAGCAAUGAUAAUGCCAACAUGUCUAUCAUUGAGCUUCUACUUUGUACCAGACAUUGAUCUAUGGAUUUUACAUAUAUUAUCUCAUUUUAUCUUUCCAACAAACCAAAAUAUGGGUAGUACUAUUGUCCGCAUUUUAUAGGUGUGGAAGCCGAGUCACUGAGGGCUGAAGGAACUUGCUCAAGGUCACGCAAUUAGAAAGGAGCAAAAUAUCUUCCUCCUCAGAUUGUUAUGAGGCUUACUCAAGGUAAAGCAGCUAAAGAGAUUAGUUCCCUGUAAAUGUACAACAGUAUAUAUGCUUACUUUUUCUUUUUCAAACUAAAGACAAGGAAGGGGGAAUUCCCUUUCUAAUUGUCCCAAUUGCUAUCUCCUUUUUUUUUUUUUUUU
Molecule: long non-coding RNA, 1462 nt
Filed under: Homo sapiens (human)
Lineage: Eukaryota; Metazoa; Chordata; Mammalia; Primates; Hominidae
Description: HSALNT0088054
Source: RNAcentral